This 465-nucleotide ribosomal RNA is filed under the name uncultured bacterium. RNAcentral describes it as "partial 16S ribosomal RNA". It matches the Rfam family "Bacterial small subunit ribosomal RNA", at positions 338 to 795 of the family's 1533-position model. The record is from RNAcentral.
CCUACGGGAGGCAGCAGUGGGGAAUAUUGCGCAAUGGGCGAAAGCCUGACGCAGCGACGCCGCGUGAGGGAUGAAGGUCUUCGGAUCGUAAACCUCUGUCAGCAGGGAAGAACGGUCACUGUGCUAAUCAGCAGUGAAUUGACGGUACCUGCAAAGGAAGCACCGGCUAACUCCGUGCCAGCAGCCGCGGUAAUACGGAGGGUGCGAGCGUUAAUCGGAAUUACUGGGCGUAAAGCGCUCGUAGGCGGUAUGUCAAGUCAAGGGUGAAAUCCCCGCGCUCAACGUGGGAACUGCCUUUGAUACUGGCAGACUGGAGUGUGUGAGAGGAUAGUGGAAUUCAAGGUGUAGGAGUGAAAUCCGUAGAUAUCUGGAGGAACAUCAGUGGCGAAGGCGACUAUCUGGCACAUUACUGACGCUGAGGAGCGAAAGCGUGGGUAGCAAACAGGAUUAGAUACCCGUGUAGUC